CAAUGGCUCCUUGUUUAAGGAAGCAUCUCCGGGGAGGAACCCAAGCCCAGGCGCUUCUUGACUCUCCUCUUUCCAUUAGGACAAUUUCUUUGUAGUUUAACAGAGAGCUCACCUAGCUCAAGCCAGGCCAUGGCCACUCAGAAUCGUGAGAUGUCGAAUGGCUGGCCACUUGGGCUACAGAUAAUGACCAUGAGGCUUCGGUUACAAGAAAGACUACAGGCUGCAGCUCCAACGGUGGAACCAUAUUCUUUGCACAUGCCUUCAAGCAGUUUUUCCUCAUUCUCCUCCUCCAACCUUGACACCGAGUCCUCAGCAUCAUUUUUCCAAGACAACAGCGUUUCUCUGGGGAGGCUAAUUGGGUUCAGACCACGCGACAGAGGAGCACUGUACUUUCAGAACACAAUCCAUGCUGAAGAGAACAACAGGCUACCUGUAACAGGUGCCUGCAAGGAUGUCUCCAGACGACACAAUUCAGAUAUGUCUCAGGGAAUUUGCAUCCCACUGAUACUAGGCGCUCUGGUAAAGAUGAGCAGGAAUAGGAGCAAGUCAAAGCAAUUGGAUGAUUAAGGGUGAAGAAGCCAUUCGAUUUUCUUUGAUGGCCAUGGCAUAAAAAAAAAGAAUAAAACCCUCGUUGACCACCUCCACCAAAUUCUUUUCUGCCGUGUAUUCAGAAAUUACCCAUUAAUUGUAAGAUUGUCACCUUAACAAUUUUAUUUGUAUGGAAUUCUUGAUUUUCACAGCAUUAUUUAGAGGGUAGCAAAUGGAAUCAAGUUAAUCUAGAGCUGCAUUUGUAAAAUGCAAGGAAAUUAACUCCUCAAUUUGUCUUGUUAAUCGUAAGUUGGCUGCAUAUUAUAGCAUAGCUUCAUUACUUUUAAUCAAUAGAAGUUCCCGUUGUAAUGGAUUGUCAAAAAAUAAAAUAAUCCAUUGUCAAGACUGCUAAAUCAGCCACGUGGAAGAGAAGCUCCACGUGUCAGGUAGAUGAGCAAGAACCAUAUGCGUUUCCGUACGAGUGUAUACACAGAAAACAUCAGCGCUAAAUUGUAAAACCCUUGGAAAUCUCAAAACCCCCACACGAAUGCACAAAGCUUCUAAAAUCUCCACCACCAAAAAAAUGUCCGCCGCCAGGUCCGUCCUCCGUUCCGCCGCUUCCCGAGCGACCGCUGCGACUAGACUCGCCGCCGGACCCAAGGCAGUGCCGCGACCCGCUCGCUCUCCCUUUCGGGUCUCCAAGCAAAGCCCGUUCUCUUCUCGCAUUUUCAGGUCACCGGUGGAGAUGAGCUGCUGUGUGGAAACCAUUUUGCCGUAUCACACAGCCACUGCUUCGGCUUUGCUGACUUCGAUGCUGUCCGUCUCUCAACGGAGCUCCGGUUGGACCCCUGAAGAUUGCAAUGAUGAUGUAUGAUGAAUGUCAGAGAGUUCGGGCAAAGUUUUUGAUAAAUGCAGUCUAAGACAAGGUGGUGGAAUAAAGCUUUAUAGUAGGGUCUUAGAUACUUUUUCCUUCUUAAAUUUUUAACUAGGUGAUGAAUAACAUUCUUUUUAGUCAACAAGUUGGAAGGAAUUAAGUCAAAAAUAUAUGCUUUUGGAGGUUUUGUAAUUGAAAGAUAGGAUAGGAUACGAUGAUGAUGAUGAUGAUGAUGUUUUGUUAUUCUAUUAAUGUUCAUUGCACUUAAUUUGAAAGCACUCUUUAUA
Theobroma cacao (cacao) is the source of this 1689-nucleotide non-coding RNA. The record is from RefSeq and is a predicted model, not a curated record. Lineage: Eukaryota; Viridiplantae; Streptophyta; Magnoliopsida; Malvales; Malvaceae.